UACGGAGGGGGCUAGCGUUGUUCGGAAUUACUGGGCGUAAAGCGUGCGCAGGCGGUUUUGUAAGUCUGACGUGAAAUCCCCGGGCUCAACCUGGGAAUUGCGUUGGAGACUGCAAGGCUAGAAUCUGGCAGAGGGGGGUAGAAUUCCACGUGUAGCAGUGAAAUGCGUAGAGAUGUGGAGGAACACCGAUGGCGAAGGCAGCCCCCUGGGUCAAGAUUGACGCUCAUGCACGAAAGCGUGGGGAGCAAACAGG
RNAcentral lists this ribosomal RNA (253 nucleotides) under uncultured bacterium. Its description in RNAcentral is "partial 16S ribosomal RNA". It matches the Rfam family "Bacterial small subunit ribosomal RNA", at positions 524 to 776 of the family's 1533-position model. The record is from RNAcentral.